CCUACGGGAGGCAGCAGUGAGGAAUAUUGGUCAAUGGCCGGAAGGCUGAACCAGCCAUGCCGCGUGAAGGUCAGUGCCCUAUGGGCGUUAAACUUCUUUUGUGCGGGAGCAAUAAUGGUCACGUGUGGCCAGACGAGAGUACCGUACGAAUAAGCAUCGGCUAACUCCGUGCCAGCAGCCGCGGUAAUACGGGGGAUGCAAGCGUUAUCCGGAUUUAUUGGGUUUAAAGGGUGCGUAGGCUGGUAGGUAAGUCAGCGGGGAAAUGCCCCCGGUCAACGGGGUGAAGUGCCAUUGAUACUGGCUUGCUGGAAUGCGGAUGCCGUGGGAGGAAUGUGUGGUGUUGCGGUGAAAUGCAUAGAUAUCACACAGAACACCGAUUGCGAAGGCAUCUCACGAAUCC
RNAcentral lists this ribosomal RNA (400 nucleotides) under uncultured bacterium. RNAcentral's name for it is "partial 16S ribosomal RNA". It matches the Rfam family "Bacterial small subunit ribosomal RNA", at positions 338 to 735 of the family's 1533-position model. The record is from RNAcentral.